RNAcentral lists this ribosomal RNA (488 nucleotides) under uncultured bacterium. Its description in RNAcentral is "bacterial SSU rRNA". It matches the Rfam family "Bacterial small subunit ribosomal RNA", at positions 30 to 507 of the family's 1533-position model. The record is from RNAcentral.
AUUGAACGCUGGCGGCAUGCCUAACACAUGCAAGUCGAACGGUAACGCGGAGAGCUUGCUCUCUGGCGACGAGUGGCGGACGGGUGAGUAAUACUUGGGAAUCUGCCCAGUAGUGGGGGACAACAUUCGGAAACGGAUGCUAAUACCGCAUACGCACUACGGUGGAAAGUGGGGGAUCUUAGGACCUCACGCUAUUGGAUGAGCCCAAGUCGGAUUAGCUUGUAGGUAGGGUAACGGCCUACCUAGGCGACGAUCCGUAGCUGGUCUGAGAGGACGAUCAGCCACACUGGGACUGAGACACGGCCCAGACUCCUACGGGAGGCAGCAGUGGGGAAUAUUGGACAAUGGGCGCAAGCCUGAUCCAGCAAUGCCGCGUGUGUGAAGAAGGCCUGCGGGUUGUAAAGCACUUUCAGUAGAGAAGAAAAGCCUAGGGUUAAUAACCCUGAGUCUUGACGUAACCUACAGAAGAAGCACCGGCUAACUCCGUG